AUUUAGAAUCAAUAGGGUCCGAUUAGUUUCCUUUACUGAGUUUAUACAAUGGCUUAGUUAGAAGAGCAAAACCUGGUAUCCAGAGGCGAAAGUACAACCACACCCAGGAAGGAGAGAAGCUGUUAUUUGGCAGAGGGGUGGGGUGUCAGAGAGUAGCUGGACCCGAUCGCUAGGGAGAGCGCGGGUGAGGAUGAUGCCCAGAUAGGUGACAGACGUGGAAGAAAUGUGGGCCAAACCCCCGGAGUGCUCCUAACAACACUCCUAUCUUGCCUGUCCAAAACCGGACAAGUCUUAGCGGCUGGUUCAGGACCUCCGCCUUAUCAAUCAAGUUGUCCUUGAUACCCAACCAGCCACAACUCCCUCAGGGUUUCGGGGACAGCCCACACAACCUGAGUUAGGCCCUUGCUCACGAUUCACUCUCUUGCUGCCCCUCGUCUUUCUACCUUAUUCAAAUUUGGGACUUAGAAGGUGGCCCUCGUUAUCCUUGAUUGAUCCAGAAUGGAGGGGCUUUAGGGGCCCUAGUGCGCCCCUCCAGUGCUGCUGUAUUGUUCAACAGAAGCCCCUAGCUCAUGCAGCUGUUUAAACGUACAUUAGUUAAAUGAAUUCAAUUUCCCGUAAAUCUAAAUUAAACCAGUUCCCUAGUUGCAGUAGCUACACUCAGGUGCAGCUCAGUAGCCAAAAGUAAGUACUUUACUGGGCCAUGCCAACAGAGAACAUUGCCAUCAUCACAGAAAGUCCUAGAGGACAGUGCUAUGCAGACACUAUUCCCAGCCACGGGCAGUGGGGCAGAUCCUUGACGUCAGCCUGGAUCUCGCCAGCUUCCUCCCUGCUCCCUACACCCAGCAGCCUCUGGCUGGGGCCUGCCUCCCCCAAGAGAAACAGUCUGAGGCCGUUCUGCCAUCUGCAGCCUUCUCCUGACACAUGCCCUAAUCUCAGCGACAGCUUCAUUCAGCAGUUAUUCAUGGGGCAUCUCCUGUGUACCAAAAAGGCCACUAGGGCUAUGGUGAUAAAUUAGACGGAGUUCCCAGCCUAAAGAAGCAUACGUUCUAGAGAGAGGAGCAAACGAACAAAGCUUGAUAACAGCAAGGAAACAAAACACGGUAACCGCGUGCAAAGUGGGGGCGAUUCGGCUGAGUGGUCAGGGAAGCCCUGCCUGGGGAGGGGACAUUUCCGCUGAUUUCUAAGUGGGAGAAGAUCUGGGAAUGCACAUUCCAGGCAACAGGAACACCCAGUAGAAAGACCUUAAGGUGGGAAUGAGCUUGUCAAGUUUGAAGGAAAAAAGACCUUUGUGGCAGGGCCAUGGCAGGCGGAGGGAGAGGGCUGGGAAAUCUGGACAGAAAGGCAGGAACCAGGCUGUGUGGUGCUGGAGGUGGGGCCAGCAGGCAGGUUAACUGUAUUCUUAGAUCUGCAGUGUGGUUUCCAGGAAGGAGCUGACAUGAUCUUGUGCAGGGACACCAGCCCAUAUCCAGCUGCAAUUUCCUGGCUCCCCCCACCCAAACACCAGCUUCCCGGGCCUGCAGGUAUCUGUGGCUGCUCUCUGCUAAGCUCAUGUGACAUGCAGCAGAGAGGCAGGGACUAAGUCAGUCAUGCCAGGAUGCAAUAAAACCUCAAGGUCACUAAAAGGCUGAGACGCAUGAGACCACAGAGCCUGACUUUUGAGGACUUGAGCCCACGUUUAAAUGACGAAACAGUUUUGGUGUCUGUGGAGAAAUCAGGGGACACCUUGCCUCCCUGCCAUCUUAGUUAAGCACAUGACGUAUCAAGCUGAAUGAAAACACAAAAGUACUUUUGCAACCUGAGAUGGAUCAAAGUGAGCAAGCACACCCACUCUAACAUCAGCACCUGCCACACCGAGAGCCAGGCUCUAGCCCGUGCUGAGGUCCCAGGGGAGUGGGUGGAUGGUGGCAGGUAGCUGAAAGAACACUCGGGGGUGUAGGCAGAUGAGGUAUGGUUUUCUUCCGCAGCUCUCUUACGCUAUCUCUGUCUUGGCUGCCUGCUCCGGCUCUGCGGCUCCUGCGGCUCCCACGCCGCAGCUGCAUUCCCUGGCCUGCAAGGCCGGCUCUCUCCUACAGGGGCAGAAACUUCACUGUCUCUCUUUGGCCACGAGCUGUAUGCACAGCAUCAGCAGGGCAGUUACACCUCUUGCAAACAGCAGUGGCUCUGAGCCAGGUGACGAACCUUCCCACACUACGGCUACACAGCUGUGAUUAUAUAACAAGCAGAGUAGACGCCCUCCAGUUCAUGUCAGUCCAGAAAGCGUAACAUGUGAGGUCACCACACUGGGUAUCUGGAGUGAGACAGGGACUUCGCCUUAAAGAGCUCAGUUUAGUGGGAGGCGGUUAUGAAAACAUAUCCUUUCAUGAUGUGGAGCAAUGCCUGGAGUGCUAUGGAAACCCAGAGAGAGUCCUGGAAUGUGUGUGUUUCAGGCGUUGGGGGGAGUGGUGAUAUGUAUGUCUAUGCAUGUCCAGUUAGGGAAGCCGGAUGUGCUUCUAUGGGCAGUAAAAGCUACUGAAGAUUUUAAGCAGAAGAGACAAGACCAGAUUUCCUUCUGACAAUCACCAAGGGCGGUGUAUGGGACAGAUCAGACUGUGACACUAGAGGCAGGGAAAUCCAGGAGGAAGGUUAAUACAAUAGCCCAGGAAAAAUAAGAGCAGUGGUAGAGGGCUACAAACAACAGAGCUCAUACAUAUGCAAAAGCCACAGGGUUCUGCUUUGGUGACUCGGUAGGGGAAACCGCAAGAAGCAGGGCUAUACACAGGGGUGGGGACAGGUCGGGGAAGUUCCACUAAAUGACCUCAACAUUGGCAAAAUAAAUCUCAAAAUUGAUUGAGAUCUGCCUCACUUGUUGGUUUACCUAUGUGAUGACCUUUGCAGAGAGGAGAAUCAAGGAAGAAGGACUUUAUUCUACCAGAACAAACUACUGUUAAAGCAGAAAAUGAGCGCGGAAAAACAAAUUUCUCUUCUUCUCUGUAGUCUGAUAAAUGAAAGUUAUUGUUUUUCACCUGAGCAGCACAGGUCACUGUGACAUGUCUCGGCAGGCCUGGAUUGCAGUCACCCAGGCCCCACAGUGAAGCACGCAGGAUAAGCCGUGCAAGGGAAAGACAGUGGCCAUCUGCGCCACAUAGCACAAGUCAUACGUAAGCCUAAGUUGUAAACUUGUCAUUUUUUAUAAACUGCCUUUGUUCUGCUCCUGCCUUUCAUGUAUAAAAGUCAAGCUUGGUCUUAGUUCAGUGCCCAGUCUUUUGGAUGUGAAUCCACUGAGCGGGUGCACACCUUAAUAAAAUCCUCCUGUUCUA
Sapajus apella (tufted capuchin) is the source of this 3296-nucleotide long non-coding RNA. RefSeq lists it as uncharacterized. The transcript has 2 exons. The record is from RefSeq and is a predicted model, not a curated record. NCBI's taxonomy places the organism in Eukaryota, Metazoa, Chordata, Mammalia, Primates, Cebidae.